GGGGGGGGGGGGGGGGGGGGGGGGGGGGGGGGGGGCGGGCGGGGGCGGCGGGGCGGGUGUCGCACGGGGGCGUAACGGGUGGGGACCUGGCCUUCGGGUCGGAAUAACUCCCCGGAGGGGGUGCUCAUCCCGGGUCAUGGCUUCGGACCACAGAUUUAGCGCCGUUGGAUGGGCCCGCGUUGGAUUAGCUAGGUGGUUGGGUAAACGCCCACCAAGGCGACGCUCCAUAGCCGGUCUGAGAGGAGGAUCAGCCACACUGGGACUGAGACACGGCCCAGACUCCUCCGGGAGGCAGCAGUGGGGAAUAUUGGACAAUGGGCGAAAGCCUGAUCCAGCAAUGCCGCGUGAGUGAUGAAGGCCUUAGGGUUGUAAAGCUCUUUUACCCGGGAUGAUAAUGACAGUACCGGGAGAAUAAGCGCCGGCUAACUCCGUG
Molecule: ribosomal RNA, 433 nt
Filed under: uncultured bacterium
Lineage: Bacteria
Description: partial 16S ribosomal RNA
Rfam family: Bacterial small subunit ribosomal RNA (bases 45-433)
Source: RNAcentral